AUCCUGCUGACGAGUCCCCGAAAAUAGGACGAAACGCGCGUCCUGGAU
RNAcentral lists this non-coding RNA (48 nucleotides) under Schistosoma mansoni. Lineage: Eukaryota; Metazoa; Platyhelminthes; Trematoda; Strigeidida; Schistosomatidae. The record is from RNAcentral.